RNAcentral lists this ribosomal RNA (438 nucleotides) under Triticum aestivum (bread wheat). RNAcentral's name for it is "partial small subunit ribosomal RNA". Lineage: Eukaryota; Viridiplantae; Streptophyta; Magnoliopsida; Poales; Poaceae. The record is from RNAcentral.
AUGGCGGCGCCGACGAGAGCACUUGUCCUCGCCGUCGCCAACGCCGAGGCGGCAUCCGUCGUGGUCGGCCUGGCCAAGUGCGCCGACUGCACCAGGAAGAACAUCAAGGCCGAGGAAGCUUUCAAAGCUCACUCUUGUUCGGCCAUGAAUGCACAUCAGGUCUUCAGGUGGCGAUCAAGUGCAAGAACGUCCACGGCGACGCCACGUUGCAUCAAAGCACACAUACAUAUUGAAAUUAGCUCACUCUUGUUCGGCCAUGAAUGCACAUCAGGUCUUCAGGUGGCGAUCAAGUGCAAGAACGUCCACGGCGACUACGAGAGCAAGACGGUGGGCGGCCUCGACGGCACCGGCACCUUCAGCCAAUUGAAUUAUGCUCCACAUAAUGCAUCCAUCAUCAUCAUCAUGAACUGGAAGAUCAUCAUCGUCAUCACAUUGUAG